AAACCUCAAACCGAGUUGUUUGCAAAAUUUUGCCUUUUGCUUAUGUCUAAGUAGGGAGCAUUAUUGAAUAAAUUUGGUUUUGGAAUCCAAAGUUGGGGAGAGUAAAGUGAAAAGUUGAUUAGAAACUUGGAAAAGUGAGUUUUUAUGAAAGGGUAAAAAUAUGAAAAGAAACAAGAAAAAGAAAUCACCCUUGAAACCAUAGAGCAAAGAAAAAGAAAAGAGAGAAAAAAAGCAAAGAAAAUGCUCAUGGUUGUGUAGAUUUGAAAAGAAAAAGAAAAAGAAAAAGAUAGGGAUCAAAGAAAGGGAAUUUGUGUAGAGUUAAAUGUUGGGAAUGCUCCCUUAGGAUAGGCAACUUUGUU
Molecule: long non-coding RNA, 359 nt
Filed under: Lathyrus oleraceus (garden pea)
Lineage: Eukaryota; Viridiplantae; Streptophyta; Magnoliopsida; Fabales; Fabaceae
Description: Pisum sativum (pea) long non-coding RNA (PSAT_LNC015739)
Source: RNAcentral